RNAcentral lists this transfer RNA (42 nucleotides) under Chalcides sphenopsiformis. RNAcentral's name for it is "partial tRNA-Leu". Lineage: Eukaryota; Metazoa; Chordata; Lepidosauria; Squamata; Scincidae. The record is from RNAcentral.
ACUUUCAAAGGAUAACAGCUUAAUCCAAAAGAACCAUCGUUG